CAAGCACCUCUAAAACCUGAACUUUAAAAUAUGGAAUUACAACAAAGCACAGUAAAUCAAGUCCAACCAUUGUUUGGUCCUGUUUCAGUGGAUAGCUAGCUAAAUGUUAAGGAUUUUUGUGAAAAUUUAAACCUCAGGCAAUGAUUCCCAAACUUUUUCAUGCCACAUGCUAAUUUUACGUCCCACCAGCAGGUGAGCAGAGGCAGGGAAGGCUGACUGGCCUACACAGACCUCGUGUGGCCCUCUCCCAGAGCAGAGGGGAGCAGUGUGGGGGCAUCACUGUAACUCAUUUGGGGCACACGGGCGGAACGCUUGGACUUACUCAUUGACUUAGGAAAAGUUUUCCCUAAAGGUUGAAAGGGUCAGGUUUAUCCUGAUGCAAAAUGUAAACCAGUGACUCCAAAUGAACGAUCUCCUUGCACACAGUGAGCUGGCAGCAGUGAAAGGAAAAAACCUUAUCUGUGAGGCUCAAGUGGUCGUAAUUCAUGACUUGGCUCCUUGCGAUGCUCAGUUCCUGUUGCUUGCACGGCUUGUUCCCUUCCUGAUCACCUGCCCUGUUUCUGGCAGAGAUGGGUGACCUCGGCAGGCAUGCGUGCAAGUGUGUGUGUAUGUGUCUGUACACAUGUGUGUGUAAGGAGGGAAGAAAAGGUAGGUGACCCUUCUCAGCAGCUCUGAAAUUAUGCCACCCAGAUGGCUAGCCGCUUAGCCUUCUUGUCUGGUUGCUUUGACUCCUGCUCACAUCCACCUUCCAUUCUAAAGACAGACGGAGUACUAACUCUGGAAGCUUCUACAUUUGUUCAAGAUGUACGAGAAGGGGAUCGUUUAUUCAGUCUGGACAAUGAGUCUAGAAUUCUCUUUCAUCAUCUGUGAUUCGCUGGAAGCCAAGUUCCACAGAUCUGUUUGCUGCUCUAUCCAGUCUUUUCCAAUUAUCAAAUAAGUCACCUCCUCCAUGGUAUCUUGUCCUCCCAAGGGAAGCACGGGUUACUGGGAAAAGGGGCUUGUCAUGGUUGCCAUCUGUUAGGGGCUGAAUUGUGCCCCCACCACCCCCUUUGCACACUGAAGCCCUAACCCCCAGGACCUCAGAGUGUGAAUGUAUAUGGAGUUAGAGUCUUUCGAGAGGUGAUUAAGUUAACAUGAGGCCACAUGGGUGGGCCCUAAAUCCAAUCUGACUGUGCCCUUGUAAGAAGAGGUCAAGACACAGACAUGCACAGAGAGAAGACCGUAUGCAGACACGGGGGAAGGUGGCCGUCUACAAGCCAGUGAGGGAGACCGCCGAAGAAACUAAGCCUGUCCACACCUUGAUCUCGGACUUGCCAACCCCUGGAAUCAUAAGAAAAUAAAUGUCUGUCAUUUCAGCCACCCCAGCCUGGGGUCCUUUGUCAUGGCAGCCUGAGAAGACUCACCCAUACCCCAUCUGAUCUGCUCCCUCCGGCCGUCUUUGUCUGGGAGAGCCAGGGCUGUAGGCUUCUUGGGUUUUCCUACGUGCUCGCUCAUCCCCACAUCUGAUUUAUGAGCCUUGUCUUCUUUGGUGCUUAUAGCAGCUACUCCUUGGAAUUCUUUGCUGUUUGGAUAAGCACAGCCUGCCCAUUCCCCUACAUGCUAAAUAAAAAUGUGGUGGUUGACAAGCAGUCCCUGGCACCCCCUUCCUCUCAACCCCUGCUCGGACCUUC
Molecule: long non-coding RNA, 1670 nt
Organism: Herpailurus yagouaroundi (jaguarundi)
Lineage: Eukaryota; Metazoa; Chordata; Mammalia; Carnivora; Felidae
Exons: 2
Source: RefSeq, a predicted model, not a curated record